Molecule: ribosomal RNA, 292 nt
Filed under: uncultured bacterium
Lineage: Bacteria
Description: partial 16S ribosomal RNA
Rfam family: Bacterial small subunit ribosomal RNA
Source: RNAcentral
GUGUCAGCAGCCGCGGUAAUACGGAGGGUGCAAGCGUUAUCCGGAAUCACUGGGUUUAAAGGGUGCGUAGGCGGCUUGGUAAGUCAGGGGUGAAAGCUUCCCGCUCAACGGGAGAACUGCCCUUGAUACUGCCAGGCUCGAAUUGGGUUGAGGCCGGCGGAAUGUGGCAUGUAGCGGUGAAAUGCUUAGAUAUGCCAUAGAACACCGAUUGCGAAGGCAGCCGGCCAAGCCUUGAUUGACGCUGAGGCACGAAAGCGUGGGGAGCGAACAGGAUUAGAAACCCCUGUAGUCC